This 540-nucleotide unclassified non-coding RNA is filed under the name Curvularia aeria. RNAcentral describes it as "sequence contains ITS1, 5.8S rRNA gene and ITS2". The stretch from base 167 to 320 matches the Rfam family "5.8S ribosomal RNA". Lineage: Eukaryota; Fungi; Ascomycota; Dothideomycetes; Pleosporales; Pleosporaceae. The record is from RNAcentral.
CAUUACACAAUUAAAAUAUGAAGGCUUCGGCUGGAUUAUUUUUAUCACCCUUGUCUUUUGCGCACUUGUUGUUUCCUGGGCGGGUUCGCCCGCCACCAGGACCACACCAUAAACCUUUUUUAUGCAGUUGCAAUCAGCGUCAGUAUAACAAAUGUAAAUCAUUUACAACUUUCAACAACGGAUCUCUUGGUUCUGGCAUCGAUGAAGAACGCAGCGAAAUGCGAUACGUAGUGUGAAUUGCAGAAUUCAGUGAAUCAUCGAAUCUUUGAACGCACAUUGCGCCCUUUGGUAUUCCAAAGGGCAUGCCUGUUCGAGCGUCAUUUGUACCUUCAAGCUUUGCUUGGUGUUGGGCGUCUUUUUGUCUUUGGCCUCGCCCAAAGACUCGCCUUAAAACGAUUGGCAGCCGGCCUACUGGUUUCGCAGCGCAGCACAUUUUUGCGCUUGCAAUCAGCAAAAAGGACGGCAAUCCAUCAAGACUACAUUUUUACGUUUGACCUCGGAUCAGGUAGGGAUACCCGCUGAACUUAAGCAUAUCAAUAA